This 468-nucleotide ribosomal RNA is filed under the name uncultured bacterium. RNAcentral describes it as "partial 16S ribosomal RNA". It matches the Rfam family "Bacterial small subunit ribosomal RNA", at positions 28 to 507 of the family's 1533-position model. The record is from RNAcentral.
GACGAACGCUGGCGGCGUGCUUAACACAUGCAAGUCGAACGGAAAGGCCCUGCGUUUGUGGGUUGCUCGUGUGGCGAACGGGUGAGUAACACGUGAGUAACCUGCCCUUGACUUUGGGAUAACUUCAGGAAAAUGCGUCUAAUACCGGAUAGGAGCUCCUGCUGCAUGGUGGGGGUUGGAAAAUUUCGGCGGUUGGGGCUGGUCGCGCGGGUUAUCAGCUUCUUUGUGGGGUAGUGACUUUCAAGGCGUUUGACGGGUAGGCGGCCUGAGAGGGUGACCGGGCACCAUGGGACUGAGAGAGGGCCCAGUAUCCUACGGGAGGCAGCAGUCGGGAAUAUUGCACAAUAGGCCGACGCCUGAUGCAGCGACGCCGGGUGCGGGAUGACGGCCUUUGGGUUGUGAACCGCUUUGGCCUGUGACGAAGCGUGAGUGACGGUAAUUGGUAAAGAAGCACCGGCUAACUACGUG